Molecule: long non-coding RNA, 300 nt
Filed under: Brassica rapa (field mustard)
Lineage: Eukaryota; Viridiplantae; Streptophyta; Magnoliopsida; Brassicales; Brassicaceae
Description: long non-coding RNA (BRAP_LNC007864)
Source: RNAcentral
GGCUAAGAGCAUCUCCAAUGUAUUACCCCAUUUUUUACUCCAAAAUGGUGCAACACCAAAAUGGAGUAAGGUUUUACUCCAAUGUAUUACUCCAUUUUCUACUCCAAAAAUAAUAUUUCUUAAAUAAUUUCAUUUUUAUUUUAUUAAUAAUUGCAAAUAAAAUCUUAUACUUAUAAAAAAUUACCAAUUAACCCUAAUUAUUUUAUGUUUAGGAUAAUAAUUAAAAUAUAAAUUAUUUGAAUUAAAUAUUUAUUAUUAAAAAGUACAAGAAAUCAUUAAAAAAGACAACAUAUAUAUAGG